This is a long non-coding RNA of Tupaia belangeri chinensis (Chinese tree shrew), 545 nucleotides long. RefSeq lists it as uncharacterized. The record is from RefSeq and is a predicted model, not a curated record. The transcript has 3 exons. Lineage: Eukaryota; Metazoa; Chordata; Mammalia; Scandentia; Tupaiidae.
CCCCGCACACACACCGCACCCGCAGCCGCCACACCUGUGCAGGAGUCCGCGUGCGCCCCGCGGCGGAGCGCGCAGUGACCUCUUUACAUAAGCCCAGGCCGCGUCGCGCCCCGCGGGGGAGGGACAGGGCACCGCAGGAGCCGCUCGCGGAUCCACAGGGUGGGGAAAGCGGGGCACCGAAGCCAGACAUAUCCACGGAGAAACUGACAGAUGUACAGAUGUGCAGACACACAACGAAGACACAGGGGCAAUCUCCCCACCCCGCCUCCUUCUGCAGCUCGGUCUCGUCAUCAGCCCGGCACCGGCACCACUGCCCGUCUUCACGCAGCUCAGAGUGGAAACCUGCUUGCCGAGGCUCCAGCCCACAGGGCUGGUAGUCGUUUCAAGACACCCUCUAAUAACCUCUCGAGGACAGUAUCCUCUCGUAACUCAGGUGCCCAUGACACCAGUCGGCCACCUGGUCUGGGGCACUGCUCAGCCUGUGGGGUCCUCCUUUUAUCUGGUUCCGCAUAAUGCCCUGAGAUUCAUCCAGGUUGUUUCAAGAU